GCUGGAUUCAGUUUUGCCAGCUGCAUCCAUAGUGUCUGACACCAGUUGGUGCUCAAGAAACAUGGGUGUUGAAUUUAAAAAAAAUUUUUUUUUUUUGGUUGUUGUUCAAAGGAUAAAGCAACAACUUAAAAAACAUGAAUUCAUUCAGAACUCUGGGGCUCAGAAACCAGACAACUUUCUCCUGUUCAGAAGAGGAAACUGAGACUCAGAGACAGGGAAGGACCAUCAGGGCUGCAGAGUCAGGGAGGCCAGAGAGGAGAGGCCGGGCUGCAGGUGCGACCCCUCACCUGCCGGUAUCCAUCUGUCACAGCCCACCUGCCUGUCAUCACCUAGCCUCCACCACGGGUAUCUGACGAAUGCUAACAGACCAGUCUCAGCCCUAAGACUUCAGCAGGAAGACUCUGGAAGCUGCUGGCAAAGUCGCCCUGCUCGUCAAUUCUUUUCUUAGUUUUGGAACAACCUGAAGAUGCACCAUCCGUCCAGAGAAGACCCAUUUCAC
RNAcentral lists this long non-coding RNA (499 nucleotides) under Marmota monax (woodchuck). Lineage: Eukaryota; Metazoa; Chordata; Mammalia; Rodentia; Sciuridae. The record is from RNAcentral.